RNAcentral lists this unclassified non-coding RNA (211 nucleotides) under Hevea brasiliensis (rubber tree). The record is from RNAcentral. Lineage: Eukaryota; Viridiplantae; Streptophyta; Magnoliopsida; Malpighiales; Euphorbiaceae.
GAUGAAGAACACCAAAUGAUUACCUACAUUUACAAACAUAAACUCUCAAAAGACUGGAUCCCAUUUUGUUUCAAAUUAGUCAUUUGUAAGAAAAAAAAUUUAAUUGAAUUUUCACACAAUCAUGCUUUUUUAUAUUUCUGAUUUUUGGAACCAUACUUUGUUUAUAUUUCUUUGAAAAUGAUUUUUGUAAGUUAAAAAGAAUUGAAAUUUU